UCGGUUCCGGUUCACGCCCUCGAUUUCGACGGCGACCCGGCGGCC
Molecule: non-coding RNA, 45 nt
Filed under: Nocardia sp. BMG51109
Lineage: Bacteria; Bacillati; Actinomycetota; Actinomycetes; Mycobacteriales; Nocardiaceae
Description: L31-Actinobacteria ribosomal protein leader
Rfam family: L31-Actinobacteria ribosomal protein leader
Source: RNAcentral